Molecule: long non-coding RNA, 165 nt
Organism: Erpetoichthys calabaricus (reedfish)
Lineage: Eukaryota; Metazoa; Chordata; Cladistia; Polypteriformes; Polypteridae
Exons: 3
Source: RefSeq, a predicted model, not a curated record
CUUCUGUUUCUGAGGUCCAAAACUCAAAUGUUCCUUAUUUCUUGUGGCUGCAUUGCACUUCUAGAUUACGUGGAAUUGGCAAUCAAUGGAUGUGUGCUGUCCCUGUGAUUAUCCCUCACUAAAGUCACUGGAAAGUCUGAUGAGCCUGACUGACAGACACUACAU